GUAGGUGGCAAGCGUUGUCCGGGAAUUAUUGGGGCGUAAAGCGCGCGCAGGCGGUUCUUUAAGUCUGAUGUGAAAGCCCACGGGCUCAACCGUGGGAGGGUCAUUGGAAACUGGAGAACUUGAGUACAGAAGAGGAAAGCGGAAUUCCACGUGUAGCGGUGAAAUGCGUAGAGAUGUGGAGGAACACCAGUGGCGAAGGCGGCUUUCUGGUCUGUAACUGACGCUGAGGCGCGAAAGCGUGGGGAGCAGACAGGAUUAGAUACCCUGGUAGUCCACGCCGUAAACGAUGAGUGCUAAGUGUUAGGGGGUUUCCGCCCCUUAGUGCUGCAGCUAACGCAUUAAGCACUCCGCCUGGGGAGUACGGCCGCAAAGGCUGA
RNAcentral lists this ribosomal RNA (377 nucleotides) under uncultured organism. Its description in RNAcentral is "partial 16S ribosomal RNA". It matches the Rfam family "Bacterial small subunit ribosomal RNA", at positions 527 to 897 of the family's 1533-position model. The record is from RNAcentral.